CAUAAGAUAAGCUAAAUAAAGCUAAUGGACUCAUACUCCAUCAAUGGUCUCUUCCUCUUAUGA
Molecule: transfer RNA, 63 nt
Filed under: Cymothoa indica
Lineage: Eukaryota; Metazoa; Arthropoda; Malacostraca; Isopoda; Cymothoidae
Description: tRNA-Met
Source: RNAcentral